RNAcentral lists this ribosomal RNA (250 nucleotides) under uncultured bacterium. RNAcentral's name for it is "partial 16S ribosomal RNA". It matches the Rfam family "Bacterial small subunit ribosomal RNA", at positions 524 to 773 of the family's 1533-position model. The record is from RNAcentral.
UACGGAGGGGGCUAGCGUUGUUCGGAAUCACUGGGCGUAAAGCGCGCGUAGGCGGCUUGAAAAGUUGGAUGUGAAAUCCCGGGGCUUAACCCCGGAACUGCAUUCAAAACUUUCUGGCUAGAGACUUAGAGAGGUGGGCGGAAUUCCGAGUGUAGAGGUGAAAUUCGUAGAUAUUCGGAAGAACACCGGUUGCGAAGGCGGCUCACUGGCUAAGUUCUGACGCUGAGGUGCGAAAGCGUGGGGAGCAAAC